Molecule: non-coding RNA, 71 nt
Organism: Phrynosoma platyrhinos (Desert horned lizard)
Lineage: Eukaryota; Metazoa; Chordata; Lepidosauria; Squamata; Phrynosomatidae
Source: the annotation of a GenBank genome assembly
GGUUGAGAGUGCAGUGGUUUAAGCAUUGGACUAUGACUCUGAAGUCCAGGGUUCAAAUCCCCACUCCGUCA